This 1011-nucleotide long non-coding RNA is filed under the name Bos indicus x Bos taurus (hybrid cattle). RNAcentral's name for it is "lncRNA (ENSBIXG00005000314.1)". Lineage: Eukaryota; Metazoa; Chordata; Mammalia; Artiodactyla; Bovidae. The record is from RNAcentral.
CGGGAAUUAAUCUCUUUUUGUCCCCCUGGCCCCUUUAAUGUCCUCUUUCCAGAGCAGGUCAGUGGCCUAUGGGAGGGAGCUGUCACAUGUCUCCUCCUGGCCUUGCCCUGGUUCCAUCUGAUUUGUGAUUUCAGAAAUGCCAGACUCGCUGGUGGGGCAGGCGGCCUCCUGCAUGACUUCCUGCACAGGGUCAGCUGAUCCUCACCUCCCCGUGGGCACCAGAUACGUCUAUCACUUUUCCACUAACACCAGCACCAGCCUGCAGGGGGCCCAGGUGGAGGGGAGUGGCCUUGGUCUGCAAGGCUUGGUCACCCUUGAUGUGCUUGGUCCUUGCCAGAUGGCCUUACAGCUCCAGCACUUCCAGCUGACAUCCAUCCUGGGGUCCAAGGUGGAAGUUCUGAAGCAGUCGGAGAGUCUGAGGUAAGACGCUGGGCCUUGCUCCCCAUGGGGCUCCCUUUUCCAAUGGCCACUGGGUGCACCAGAUUGUAUUGAAAGAAUCCAGUUAGGGUAACCCCCUUACAUCAGAAAAAGGCCAUUUUGGAUUGAAGUUCAAAGAGGAUUCCAUCUUUGUUUUGACCUUGUAAACACCCAGACCAUUGAUGACGACCAUUGGGGGUUGUUGUGAUGUGGGAGCCUUGAGGGGCUCCAAAGAGCUUCAGAUGGCCUUCCCUUAUCUGGAGGAAGGAACUCUCGCCCCAUAUUUUCCUGGAUGUCACUCUCAGCAUGUCCAGAUUUUAUGUCUGCCCAGCACCCUCUGGGCUUCAUCUUUAAGAACAUUCUGGAAGACACUGGGCACACAUUGAGGCCUGCCCUUCUCCUCCUCCUCCCUGCUGAGAUGGGGGUUUUCCCUGGAGACCCAUAGCUUCUUUCUCCCUCCCCAAGCCAAGCUCCCCUUGGUGACCCAGCCAAGCCUGGAAUUCUCCCUUGGCGUGUUUCCCAGGGACUCCUGAAGUGGCUUCCGGGCCACAAAGCUCAGUCCAGCCGCCAGUCUGAAGACAAGCCCAUCUCCGC